AGAGAACGUCUCCACAUUAUCAUAGAAAUAUGAUUUCAACAAGUAAAACAAUGAACUCUCCCAAAGGAUAAAGAAUGUAGGUCAACGUAUCAGAGCAGGGCUUGACUUCAUCUUGCAAAUAUGACGAGUGGGAGGGAGAUUUGAAGUUCCACAUUUUUUAUUGAAUCCAAGUCCAACACAGCGGGGCACAAUGGGACUUGUGCUUCCGUCUGCACCUUUUGAACGAUGCCAGCCUCACGCACUACAAACUCAUCUUGACUUCACAGACUGCCCUUCCUUUUGUACAUUUUUUGAGUUAACCAAUAAACCAUUUCCUACU
Molecule: long non-coding RNA, 319 nt
Organism: Centropristis striata (black sea bass)
Lineage: Eukaryota; Metazoa; Chordata; Actinopteri; Perciformes; Serranidae
Exons: 4
Source: RefSeq, a predicted model, not a curated record